CCAUUUUCCUCCUCCCAAAUCAGGCCAGAUCCAGCGGUAACCACCGGAGGAGGCAAAGGUAACCGGCGCCACAACCGCAGCCAAAGAUGGGCGGCGAACAUUGGGAAGUGGAUCAACUGCCACCGUAGCUGAAGUUGCGCGGAGGAAGCUGAAGACGUUAGCCCGCGGGGGGGUUCGCUGCUCGUCGCCAGUGCAGGUAAGGUCCUACUCCUACCCAUGGCUUCCCUGGCAUAGGUCCCGCCUCGGAGCAGCUCGUAUUGCUCGUAUUUGUUCGGAGAGGGGGCGGUACUCAACAUGGAGAGGUCACGACGGCGGGGGACGAGUUUGCCGGGCAGCCCAUAGCGGUGGUUAACCGCGUUCACUUUACACAGUUACGGCCAUGGUGGCGUUGGUGUCAUGAGCAAAGCUCUCGUGCUGCUUUCGAACUAGGGAGGCAUGGGGAUUCAGCGAGGUUUGAGUUUCAACCAGAACGAGUAGAUAAUGGGAUAUCAUAGGUUGUCGUACAUCUCUUUUGCAUCUGGGUUCCUCCGUGUUUUUUAUUGAAAUUUUCUAGUAUAAGUUGUAAACGGAGCAAGAAUAGUUGGCUAGCUAGUUGUAAAAGUUGCACACGGAUGCCAACAUAGUUGGAUUACAGCAUGAAGGACGAUUAGGAGUGUGUUUUUCAAUUUCAUUUUCCAGUUGCACACGCUCAUACGUCAAUUGGUUGCAUCCCGCACACUCUAGAUCAUUUAGUUGGCAGGACAUUUUGUUCAUUUUUAUUUUGGGAGUUCCUAUUUAGUCAGGGGGAGCCGAGAGUGCGUGUUCUAGUGGGAUACGAGUUUCAUGGCGAGUCACCUCCGUAUCACGCAGAUUCGGCGAGGGAUUCCGGCGUGGUGCUCCCCGGCCAAAUUGUCUGAUCCCAGCAUGACGAUUUAUUGAUUUCUUUUUACAGUGAUUUGAGCUGAAAUAGAAGGAAGGAAGUACAUAAGAGUACUAAGAGGAUAGUUUAGAUGGUUUUGCUCAACCCUCUCAAAAUGCAUCUGUGUGGUUUCUCUGUUUUCUCUUAAGUUGUGUUCAUAUAAGUAACCAGUUGGCUAGUUUAUUGUAACAGUUGCACAGGGAUGCAAAUGUAGUUGGAUGACACAUAUACGUAUGUUAGUUGGCUAGCCAACUUAUGAAGUUGCACAAUAAGGGCUAACCAGUUGCACAUUCGAUGAUAUUCAGAUGGAUACACGGAUACACUGCGUAAACCAUGUUCAAGCAGUUUGUGUGUGUGGUUUCUUGGUUGCACAUCCAUGUGUGCCCUAUUUCCAAGGGUAUGCGUGAGGAGUUUUGUAGCGACCCGAUCCGAAUGGAUCAAGUCUCUGUGCUUAAGUGUCAUCCCUAGAUCGGUAUGCUGACACACACAGUACUCGAGGAUUUAUAACAGAGGUAAUUACAUGUAUAAAGUAACGAAAAUACUAUUACCUCAAUCCAUAUAGCGGAAGUAACAAUAAGGUUGUGUAUUCCCAUCAACACCAAUGGCAAAGUUGAGUGUAGACAUCGUAACCCUAACAUAUCACUUACUCGUCGUAAGAAUCCAUGAGAGCAUCUCCAGCCGCCCCCCAGGAAGCCCUCCCAAGCACGUUUUUGCGCGCCGGUGGAUAAAAAUCUUCCCACUCGUGCCCCCAAAGUCUCCUUUUUUGCCGGAUGAAGCAAAAAUCGGCGCCGGCAGCCCCAACCCAAACCCAGGAACCCGGGGGGCACCUGGGGGGCUAAUUUUGCCUUUUGCAGGCGCGCCCCCACAUGCAGUGACAUAUCUCCUCCCCCCCACCUUUUCGUCUCUCUCUCCCCACCUUUUCGUCUCUCUCUCCCCACCCUUUCCUCCUCCCGUCGCGCGCGUGCCUCCUCUCCAGCUCGCCCCGUCGGCCGCCGCGGCGCCUCCAGUCCUCGUCGACGCCGCACAGACGACAUCCCCGGCCACUGGCGUCGAGGGAGGAAGCGGUCGCCCGGCCACGCCCAAGAUCUCCUCCACCUCCUCCCGCAAGAAGCCGGAACCAGCGCCGUCGUAGAACGUCGUCCUUGUCCCGUCGGCGGCGCGGCCACGGGCGCGAGCGGGCGGCGUGGCCACGGGCACGAGCAGCGGCGUCCAUAGUGGGCGGGGGCAGCAGCGGCCAGCGGAGGCGGCGAGGACGUGCUGCUGGAAGGACGGGGCGGCUUGGGGGUGGACACGGCUGGGAAGAUUUUCAUCCCCAGGCCAAAAUCUUCGCCGGUAGCCCCCCAGGCGGCGAAAAAAUGCCUCCUAGGGGGCUCAACGGCAGAAGAUGCUCUGAGACAUUGCAGCCAUGUAGGUCAGUACAUUGAAUGUACUGGCAAUUUCACACUGUAGAGCAAUGCUGAGUAAAUGGCUAUCACUACAUGCAUAUUUGGUUGGUGGAGGCUCUAAGUUUAAUAUUUGCAUAAAACUAAUUUUUCCCUACAACAAAGAAAUAGAUUUUAUCUAACUACCAAGUUAAAUUGCCCAUAUAGAGAAGGUAAACCCAACUCAAUCCCAAAAUCACCAAAUCAUUAAUAACCCAACAAUCUCUUUAAAUAGAGUGAUGAGAUCAAUCAAAUUAAUAAGUAUCAGAUACUGAAGAUGUCCAUAACCGGGGACACGGCUAAUCAUGAUUAGUUUGUACACUCUGCAGAGAUUUGCGCACUUUUCCCCACAACUCGAUCUCCUCCGUUGUAUUUCUUACACUGCAUGAUGUUUGAGAAACGGAUGACCGAGACACAGUCUUUCCGAAGAGGUCCCCUUAACCGAUAGAUAGGCCGGUACACCUACAAUCCCCUACAUCUGCUAGCCCAUCAUGAAAAGGAUUCCCACAACUUACUCAACUAUGCCAGAGCACACGGAAGUUUACAGCAUGAAUAAUCUUUCGAUCCCUUUGAGCCUGGGUGGCAUUCCAAUAGGAUGAUCACACGGAUACCCGGGAUCUCCUAGGAACACUGGUAUAUCCCCAGGUGCCCGGGCAAGCCACUGGUAUAUCCCCAGGGUGCACCAACCAUUUUCACCCAGAUGUGUAUUAAAGUAGCCACCUUAAAGUUCCCUUAGUUAAAUGUAACUCUCACAUCUUUCAUGAAUCUCACAUACCAAUCCAUGUCUACGAGCAUAGCAAAGCAAUAUAAGCAUAACGUAUAAUACCCGGGGUUUGAUAAAAGACAAUAAGCUCCUACCUCAACAACUACUUCCCACGCCCACAUGUUACCAAAUCCUACUCAUGCAAUGUUUGAGGGUUGAAACUAAUGUAUAAAAAAACUGGGUAUGAAAAAUAUGAUCAAAGUGUGAACUUGCCUUGUACCGUUGAUGAAGAUUCGUCGCACUCAUAACUCGUGAUAGAUCUACUCGUCACACUCCGAUCAAUCUAUUGUAAGUAAGCAAUUGCAUACAUAAGCACUCAUGCAAAAGAAUCAAAGAAAAGAUCUCAAAAAACUUUGAAAACAAGCAAUUAACUCUUGCAACAGAAAACAAUUUCUAACAGUAUCAAAAUUGGGUGUAUUUGGUCUUAUCAGAAAGUUUAGGUCAAGAGCUUCAAUAGCAAAAAGAAUCAACUAAAUCGGAAUUAUAAAACUCAAGUUAUGAUCAAUAGAAGUUUAAAUUCAAAUCUGUUUGAAACCAAGUUUUAAACUGUCAAAAACAUGUUUAAGUUGGUUAUCUGGGUAGAGGGGAUCAUAACGAAGAAGUGGGCGUUGUUUUCGUUGGAUUUGGAUAAACGAGCAAAAAGUUAUGAGGGUUUAAAAAUCAGGGACUAAUCCGUGAUGAAAACAUUUAUGAAUAGGUCCCUGGCUGAAAAUUAACAGAAAAAGAAAAAUCUACGAACGAACAUUCGCUACAGAAACCUAACGAAUGAAAAUCGUUCGCUACCGAAACUAACGGAUGAACGUCCGCUAAAUAAACUAACUAAAAUAAUAAACCGAUCUAAAAGAAAAACCGAAAAAAACCGGAUAGGGGAUCAGUUCUAUACCGGUCGGUGGUUCGACGGUUUUGGCGAGAAAACCGGUGGCGGCGGUUAGCGGAUAGGCGACGACGAUGGAUCGGGAUUCCGGCGAGAUGGGGCGGCGGCGACGACGACUCCGGCGAGGCGGGACGGCGGCUAGGCGCGGCGCGGAAGACGGCGACGACUAGCGGCGCGGCGGCGGGAGCUGCGCGUGGUUGCGGCGGCAGCGAGAAGUGGUGGCAGCGGUGACGAGAUGCGGCGCGGCGACGUAAAGCGGCAGCGAGCGGCGCAGACGGGGUCCAAGAGGGGCCCCCGGUGCAGCGUAUAAAGGGGGGCUCGGCCUCGGGAGGCGGAGUCCCGGGCGUCGGCGGCUCCUCCCGUGUCCUGGCUGGACUCGGGGAAGGCGACGUCGGCGCGCCUGGGACAUUUACUCAGGACCCAGGCGGAGUCCCGCGCGGCGUCGACUCCUCCCGUGUCGUAAGAAUCCUGCAACAUGAGACAUUGCAGCCAUGUAGGUCAGUACAUUGAAUGUACUGGCAAUUUCACACUGUAGAGCAAUGCUGAGUAAAUGGCUAUCACUACAUGCAUAUUUGGCUGAUGGAGGCUCUUAGUUUAAUAUUUGCAUAAAGCCAAUUUUUUCUACAAUAAAGGAAUAGAUUUUAUUUAACUACCAAGUUAAAUUACCCAUAUUGAGAAGAUAACCCCAACUCAAUCCCAAAAUUACCAAAUCAUUAAUAACCCAACAAUUUCAUUAAAUAGAGUGAGGAGAUCAAUCAAAUAAUUCAAGUACCAGAUACUCAAGAUGUCCAUAACCGGGGACACGACUAAUCAUGAUUAGUUUGUACACUUUGUAAAGGUUUGCGCCCUUUUCCCCACAAGACUCGAUCUCGUCCGUUGUAUUUCUCGCACUGCAUGAUGUUUGAGAAACGGAUGACCGAGACACAGUCUUUCCGAAGAGGUCCACUUAACCGAUAGAUAGGCCGGUACACCUACAAUCCCCUACAUCUCCUAGCCCAUCAUGAAAAAGGAUUUCCACAAUUUACUCAACUAUGCCAGAGCCCAUAAUGGCUUGUGGCUGCACACGGAAGUUUCUAGCAUGAAUAAUCUUAUGAUCCCUUUGAGCCUGGGUGGCAUUCCAAUAGGAUAAUCACACAGAUACCUCGGGAUCUCCUAGGACAACAUUGGUAUAUCCCCAGGUUCCCGGGCAAGCCACUGGUAUAUCCCCAGGGUGCCCCAACCAUUCCACCCAUAUGUGUAUUAAAGUAGCCACCUUAAAGUUUCCUUAGUUAAAUAUAACUCACAUCUUUCAUGAAUCUUGAUACGUCUCCAACGUAUCUAUAAUUUUUGAUUGUUUCAUGCUAUUAUAUUAUCUAUUUUGGAUGUUUAAUGGGAUUUAUUAUACACUUUUAUAUUAUUUUUGGGACUAACCUAUUAACCGAAGGCCUAGUGCAAAUUGCUUUUUUUUUUGCCUAUUUCAGUGUUUCGUAGAAAAGAAAUAUCAAACGGAAUGAAACCUUCGGGAAAGUGAUUUUUGGAACAAACGUGAUCCAGAGGACUUGGAGUGGACGUCAAGAAAGAAUCGAGGAGGCCCCUCGCAGCUCCACCGACCUACUUCCUCCUAUAUAUACCCAUAUACCCCGAAAACAUCCAGGAGCACCACGAAACCCUAUUUCCACCACCACAACCUUCUGUACCAGUGAGAUCCCAUCUUGGGGCUUUUUCCGGCGCUCCGCUGAAGGGGGAAUCGAUCACGGAGGGCUUCUACAUCAAUACCAUAGCCUCUUCGAUGAUGUGUGAGUAGUUUACCACAGACCUUCGGGUCCAUAGUUAUUAGCUAGAUAGCUUCUUGUCUCUCUUUGGAUCUCAAUAGAAAGUUUUCCUCGAUCUUCUUGGAGAUCUAUUCGAUGUAAUUCUUUUUUGCGCUGUGUUUGUUGAGAUCCGAUGAAUUGUGGGUUUAUGAUCAAGAUUAUCUAUGAACAAUAUUUGAAUCUCCUCUGAAUUCUUUUACGUAUGAUUUGUUAUAUUUGCAAGUCUCUUCGAAUUAUCAGUUUGGUUUGGCCUACUAGAUUGAUCUUUUUUGCAAUGGGAGAAGUGCUUAGCUUUGGUUCAAUUGUGACGCCCGGAUAAUUACGCUACAGUAAUUCUCUGCUAAUGGUGCCACGUCACCACGGUUAUUGUUGCUAAUCUCGCGUUAGUUCGAAACCGAUUCAAAUUUAAAAUCAAAUCAAAUAAUAAAAGUUUUUAAAUUUUAAAACUAAAAUGUUCGGAGUCAACCAAAUAUUGCAUAGGUAAUUAUGAUGGAGAAAUCACACCUUUAUAAAAUAUUUAAAUACUAUAAGAUGAAUAAAACAGCAGUAAAAACAAUUAUUUAAAAGCUUUUAUAAUAA
This 6325-nucleotide long non-coding RNA is filed under the name Triticum aestivum (bread wheat). Its description in RNAcentral is "long non-coding RNA (TAES_LNC008538)". The record is from RNAcentral. Lineage: Eukaryota; Viridiplantae; Streptophyta; Magnoliopsida; Poales; Poaceae.